GAUGAACGCUGGCGGCGUGCCUAAUACAUGCAAGUCGAGCGAACGGACGAGAAGCUUGCUUCUCUGAUGUUAGCGGCGGACGGGUGAGUAACACGUGGAUAACCUACCUAUAAGACUGGGAUAACUUCGGGAAACCGGAGCUAAUACCGGAUAAUAUUUUGAACCGCAUGGUUCAAAAGUGAAAGACGGUCUUGCUGUCACUUAUAGAUGGAUCCGCGCUGCAUUAGCUAGUUGGUAAGUUAACGGCUUACCAAGGCAACGAUGGAUAGCCGACGUGGGCGGGUGAUCGGCCACACUGGAACUGAGACACGGUCCAGACUCCUACGGGAGGCAGCAGUAGGGAAUCUUCCGCAAUGGGCGAAAGCCUGACGGAGCAACGCCGCGUGAGUGAUGAAGGUCUUCGGAUCGUAAAACUCUGUUAUUAGGGAAGAACAUAUGUGUAAGUAACUGUGCACAUCUUGACGGUACCUAAUCAGAAAGCCACGGCUAACUACGUG
Molecule: ribosomal RNA, 497 nt
Filed under: uncultured bacterium
Lineage: Bacteria
Description: partial 16S ribosomal RNA
Rfam family: Bacterial small subunit ribosomal RNA
Source: RNAcentral